This 120-nucleotide ribosomal RNA is filed under the name uncultured bacterium. RNAcentral's name for it is "partial 16S ribosomal RNA". It matches the Rfam family "Bacterial small subunit ribosomal RNA", at positions 215 to 334 of the family's 1533-position model. The record is from RNAcentral.
UCGGUGGAGGAUGUGCUCGCGGCCUAUCAGCUUGUUGGUGGGGUAAUGGCCCACCAAGGCUUCGACGGGUAGCCGGCCUGAGAGGGUGACCGGCCACACUGGGACUGAGACACGGCCCAG